CAUCCCAGAGCCCCAAGCAGGAGGAGAAAAGCCAGACUCCAUGAAAACAGAAGGCUAGUUGGGAUGGCAGUCAGACUAAGUGGCCUGACUCCGUUGGUGUUUAAGUGGAGCUCUGGUAUUCUAGUGCAUUCUUUUACCUCUGCUUCUGUUGCGUUGCAAGCUGUGCUAGAGAAGACGUAGGAAAUUCAUUUUACCCAAUCAGCAAUUGUAACAAUGGACUACAAACCUGCAGAGCAAGCCAGUUUGCUGGAAAACAGGAAUUCCUGCAGCGCAGCACUUGUCACAGACUAUCCAAAGAGGGCAAAGAUUCAGGAAGGUGAAUAAAUUGAACAUUGAUUGAAUGAGGUCAGGAACAGUCUCCCGGAGGAGAACCCUGCCCUAAAAUACUACUUUGAAAGUAUAAGCCAAUUUAAUGCGCAGAUUAACCCUUCUCAUUUGAGCAAACUUGUGUGCAAUCCUGGAUCUUUGCAGAUCACAACCGGACACUUCAAAAACCUAUGUACUAUAUUUGUUUAAAAAAAAAAAUAAAUCAUAACUUGUCUUGUUACAGCUGUUACUUUUACCAUUUCAUUGAGAAUAUCUGCAACAUAAAUGUAUAUUUGACUUGAAACAGUAUCAUACACUUGGUAUAAUAACUCAGGUUGUCAACAGAAUUAUUCUGUGAGGCUCAAUAUUGCCUCUCCAUUCUUCUCUGAAAAAUGCAUUAACCAUCGCUGUCAUUGCCAGAAAUCAGUUAUAGCCCAAUUGUGCAUUACAAAAUUCUUGACCAAAUAUAAUAAUUGACCUAAAUUAUUAUCCUAUUUUUAUCCUUAUAGAAUAUUUAAGAUCCUGAGCAUCAGACUAGACGUUUGUAGUCUGGUGUUCAUGAAAAUCACAUUGACUUGUUCACGGUUUAAUCAUUCUACAUCUCAGUAUUUUGUUUUCUUUUCCUUUUCCCUUGCAUACGAGGGAGUAUGAUCAAGGUAAUACUAUGAUCCAGUAAUGCGCAUGAUGGUAAGGGUAUGCCUUUAGUUGUUUCAGGAAAAAGCUGCCAUUAUCUGCUCUCCUUUACCCUUCUUGAUAGUUUCAAUAACAUGCAUAACAUGAAGUGUUUGUAAAUUGAUACUAAACUGUUUGUGACCUCACCUAAAUAAAUUUUUAUA
This is a long non-coding RNA of Phaethon lepturus (White-tailed tropicbird), 1142 nucleotides long. RefSeq lists it as uncharacterized. The record is from RefSeq and is a predicted model, not a curated record. Lineage: Eukaryota; Metazoa; Chordata; Aves; Phaethontiformes; Phaethontidae. The transcript has 3 exons.